Molecule: transfer RNA, 77 nt
Filed under: Bryobacterales bacterium
Lineage: Bacteria; Pseudomonadati; Acidobacteriota; Terriglobia; Bryobacterales
Also listed under: 1 other name
Description: tRNA-Arg
Rfam family: tRNA
About the family: Transfer RNA (tRNA) molecules are approximately 80 nucleotides in length. Their secondary structure includes four short double-helical elements and three loops (D, anti-codon, and T loops). Further hydrogen bonds mediate the characteristic L-shaped molecular structure. tRNAs have two regions of fundamental functional importance: the anti-codon, which is responsible for specific mRNA codon recognition, and the 3' end, to which the tRNAs corresponding amino acid is attached (by aminoacyl-tRNA synthetases). tRNAs cope with the degeneracy of the genetic code in two manners: having more than one tRNA (with a specific anti-codon) for a particular amino acid; and 'wobble' base-pairing, i.e. permitting non-standard base-pairing at the 3rd anti-codon position.
Source: RNAcentral
GCGCCCGUAGCUCAGCCGGAUAGAGCGGUUGGCUUCGAACCAACAGGUCGGGAGUUCGAGCCUCUCCGGGCGCGCCA